RNAcentral lists this transfer RNA (85 nucleotides) under Candidatus Omnitrophota bacterium. RNAcentral's name for it is "Candidatus Omnitrophica bacterium (sediment metagenome) tRNA-Ser". It matches the Rfam family "tRNA". From Rfam's summary of the family: Transfer RNA (tRNA) molecules are approximately 80 nucleotides in length. Lineage: Bacteria; Pseudomonadati; Candidatus Omnitrophota. The record is from RNAcentral.
GGAGAGGUGGCUGAGUGGCCGAUAGCGGCGGUCUUGAAAACCGUUGACCCGAAAGGGUCCGUGAGUUCGAAUCUCACCCUCUCCG